CUGUUUCAUUUUCGAGUUUCCUUAAGCGGCGUCUGUUUAUUCCCUCAUUGUGGUCGCUCUGGUAAGUGUAGUUCUAUGUGUAUCAAUUCACGAUAUGAUUUAAAUUAAGUUUAUUCACAAUAUGCGCUUUUGUACAACAUAGGUGGCUGCAAGUUAGUCAGUUAAAUUUUCCCGCCUGGUCUUAUUGUUGCCUCAGGUCAGACGUCGCCUAUUUUUUUCUGCCUGACAGUGUAAGUUAAUCUCUCCGGUAGGUGCUGUUCUCUAUGUAAUAUUUACCAUAAGAGUUGAAAUAUGUUUGUUCAAAACAUGUGCUUUUGUACGCCAUUUUAGAGUUGCCUCAGGCGGCACCCAGUUAACGUUGGUCCGUCAUUGUUAUCACUCCGGUAAGCGGUGGUUCUUUGUGUAUCAAUUUAAGCCAUGAUUUAAAUGAAAUUUGUUCACAAUAUGCCCAUUUUUACAACGGUGUAGGUGGCGGUAAGUUAGUCAUUUCAGUUUUCCUGCUUCAUCUUCGAGUUGCCUGAGAAGGGUCAGACGAGCGCAAGGUUUUUUUUUCUCGACAGUGCAAUCGCUCUGGCAGCUGCUUAGGUGGCUCCAAACUGGUCAGUUCAACCUCUCCUUCUUCGUCUUCGAGAAGUCUUAAAGUCAAUCGGUGGCUUUUUUUCCCGACAGUAUCAUGACUUAGGGUGAUGCAGUGCAAGAUAUCCAGAUUUGAACACCCUGCCCAGGAGGUCCUUUUGAAACAUGACCAAUUGUGCCACUACCAGGGAAGAUACUGCCAACUACCCUGCCUCUACACAGAUUGCAUCUGCUCCUUUAAAACCACUGGUUGAAGUCUCACCUUUUAAGAUCACACAAGUGCUUAUCUUCACGUGAGAGUCACUUAACAUUGAAUGGUGAAUUGUGUGACUUUAAGGAAAUUUGUAAAACACCUUAUUACUCUAAACAUAGCCAUUUAAAAAAAACAUGAAACUUUAAGGUGCCCUUUUAGCCAGUGUGGUUUUUAAAACACAUCUGAUUUCAUCAUCCAGUGGUCACAGAAGUCAAAAACAUUGCAGCUUUUCCAUUACAGACUUUAAAGUAAAUAUCAUUAUUCAAAAUGCAGAACCAAAAGACAUUGAGCC
This is a long non-coding RNA of Carassius carassius (crucian carp), 1121 nucleotides long. RefSeq lists it as uncharacterized. The transcript is spliced from 3 exons. The record is from RefSeq and is a predicted model, not a curated record. NCBI's taxonomy places the organism in Eukaryota, Metazoa, Chordata, Actinopteri, Cypriniformes, Cyprinidae.